This 132-nucleotide small nucleolar RNA is filed under the name Castor canadensis (American beaver). RNAcentral's name for it is "Small nucleolar RNA SNORA51 (ENSCCNG00000012342.1)". It matches the Rfam family "Small nucleolar RNA SNORA51". Rfam says of the family: ACA51 is a member of the H/ACA class of snoRNA that guide the sites of modification of uridines to pseudouridines. Lineage: Eukaryota; Metazoa; Chordata; Mammalia; Rodentia; Castoridae. The record is from Rfam by way of RNAcentral.
AACCUCCUGGUGCUUACCCCAGGCUGUGUUCUUACACUGCCUGUAUAGAAAGUUGACACAAAAUAAACCCAACCCAAAUACACCUUAGACCAGACCCUGUGCCUGGAUGGUACUGUGAAUGAGGAGAACGAG